UUUUCCGGGGAAUGUCGAAGACGUACUAUGUAGUUCAGAUGUAGAAAGUUCUACUUUUCUUUUAAAUGUUAAAGAAAGUUUCAUAAAAACAAAUUGUAUAGCGAAUGUUCAGUACAAUAGGAAGCGUUAUUUUGUUCAAGCAAAUGGAGCCGAGGCAUAAUAUUUAAAGGAAUGUUAUUCAAAGAAAGCAAAUUCAGACAGCGGUUGCCUGGAUCAACACCCAGUACUGGGAUGCCUGGAACCUGUGUGACGAGGUGAUCGACUGGGGAGACGGUGUGGAGGAGUGCUCACGAGCGACACCCCCACUGUCCAGGUUGGGGGGGAUAAGGAGGGAUUGGGAAGGGCUACUUGGGAAAAUGUGGAGGUAUCAGAAAGGGGCCUCCAAUGGUGAGAUGGAGGGGGCGGAGGCUGGUAUGAAUGUAAUGCAUAUGGUAAAUGGAGGUGAGGAGAAUGGAUGUGAGGUAGGAGUGAAUGUGGAGGAGGUUAAGGGAGAAGGAGAGAAAAGUAGAGGGAAUGCUUUGGGAUCUAUUGUGUCACAAGGAGGCAGAUCAUGGCUGGAAACCAUUCAGGAAGAAGGAUGUGAGGAAGAAGAAGAAACUGAGGUGGCGUUUCAGGAGGCACAAGACGCUGAGGUUGCUCAGUUGGACAGAUGGUGUCCAUGUGGCUGGUGUAAGGUGGGGUAGGAGGCUUCUGAACCAUGUGUUAGGCCUAGUGCACUUAUGGAUUGUGCUUGUUUGUUGUAAUGAAAUAAGCUUAUAAACUAAACAUAAUAUAUUUUAAAGGUACGUGUUUAUAUCAGUAUCUACAUGUAAAGGGAGCAGACACAGGAAAAAGGUAUUGAAGACCCUUGAUAUGAUAUUGCUGUUUUUGAUUUAGAUUCCAAAGUUAACCCUUUAUUUAAUUUAUCCCUUUUCCCCAAGUAGAAUGAUGCAUUUACUUGUAAUCUGUAUUAUUUUGCUUUGGAGUCAGAAGUUCCAAAAUCACCAGGUAAGUUAAUCGAUUGUAUGUGUUUUAACUACUAGACAGAUGUAAAUGAUAAGCCUUAAGAUUUAUUUUAAAUUAAUUUAUUGUUUUUUUGUAAAUUAAAAACAGGAACCCUCGUGGACCAAGACUUGAGGGCAUUUGUACCAUCCAGCUGUACAACUUUAACUGGUUCUGCAGUCUUUUUCUCCCCACAGCCUCUGCUUGUUCCCUUCUUCUCUUUCUGUCUUCCCUCCAGGAGAGCUCCUCAGGCAUCUCCAGCCUGUAAUUCCUGGGAAAUGCCACCUGCCACCCAUCCUUGGAAGCGUCGCCCAGUCUCAGGAUCUCAUACGUCACCAUUCAUCACA
Molecule: long non-coding RNA, 1328 nt
Organism: Brienomyrus brachyistius
Lineage: Eukaryota; Metazoa; Chordata; Actinopteri; Osteoglossiformes; Mormyridae
Exons: 3
Source: RefSeq, a predicted model, not a curated record